GACGAACGCUGGCGGCGUGCCUAAUACAUGCAAGUAGAACGCACAGGAUGCACCGUAGUUUACUACACCGUAUUCUGUGAGUUGCGAACGGGUGAGUAACGCGUAGGUAACCUGCCUGGUAGCGGGGGAUAACUAUUGGAAACGAUAGCUAAUACCGCAUAAGAACAUUUACUGCAUGGUAGAUGUUUAAAAGGUGCAAGAGCAUCACUACCAGAUGGACCUGCGUUGUAUUAGCUAGUUGGUGAGGUAACGGCUCACCAAGGCAACGAUACAUAGCCGACCUGAGAGGGUGAUCGGCCACACUGGGACUGAGACACGGCCCAGACUCCUACGGGAGGCAGCAGUAGGGAAUCUUCGGCAAUGGGGGGAACCCUGACCGAGCAACGCCGCGUGAGUGAAGAAGGUUUUCGGAUCGUAAAGCUCUGUUGUUAAGGAAGAACGUGUGUGAGAGUGGAAAGUUCACACAGUGACGGUACUUAACCAGAAAGGGACGGCUAACUACGUGCCAGCAGCCGCGGUAAUACGUAGGUCCCGAGCGUUGUCCGGAUUUAUUGGGCGUAAAGCGAGCGCAGGCGGUUAGAUAAGUCUGAAGUGAAAAGGCAGUGGCUCAACCAUUGUAGGCUUUGGAAACUGUUUAACUUGAGUGCAGAAGGGGAGAGUGGAAUUCCAUGUGUAGCGGUGAAAUGCGUAGAUAUAUGAAGGAACACCCGUGGCGAAAAAUGCUCUCUGGGUCUGUUACUGACGCU
This 746-nucleotide ribosomal RNA is filed under the name uncultured Streptococcus sp. RNAcentral's name for it is "bacterial SSU rRNA". It matches the Rfam family "Bacterial small subunit ribosomal RNA", at positions 28 to 747 of the family's 1533-position model. The record is from RNAcentral. Lineage: Bacteria; Bacillati; Bacillota; Bacilli; Lactobacillales; Streptococcaceae.